AACGAACGCUGGCGGCAUGCCUAACACAUGCAAGUCGAACGAGACCUCCGGGUCUAGUGGCGCACGGGUGCGUAACGCGUGGGAACCUGCCCUUAGGUUCGGAAUAACUCCCCGACAGGGGUGCUAAUACCGGAUAAUGUCUUCGGACCAAAGAUUUAUCGCCUUUGGAUGGGCCCGCGUUGGAUUAGCUUGUUGGUAGGGUAAAAGCAUACCAAGGCGACGAUUCAUAGCUGGUUUGAGUGGAUGAUCAGCCACACUGCGACUGAGACACGGCCCAGACUCCUACGGGAGGCAGCAGUGGGGAAUAUUGGACAAUGGGCGAAGGCCUGAUCCAGCAAUGCCGCGUGAGUGAUGAAGGUAUUAAGGUUGUAAAGCUCUUUUACCCGGGAUGAUAAUGACGGUACCGGGAGAAUAAGCUCCGGCUAACUACGUG
Molecule: ribosomal RNA, 433 nt
Filed under: uncultured bacterium
Lineage: Bacteria
Description: partial 16S ribosomal RNA
Rfam family: Bacterial small subunit ribosomal RNA
Source: RNAcentral